This 373-nucleotide unclassified non-coding RNA is filed under the name Hevea brasiliensis (rubber tree). Lineage: Eukaryota; Viridiplantae; Streptophyta; Magnoliopsida; Malpighiales; Euphorbiaceae. The record is from RNAcentral.
GAGAACAAGUGGCGUUUCAGGGCACUUAUUCCUUACCAUGCAGACUAUUUCUUCAAUAUAAGGCUUUGACCAACAGUCCCACAUGCUAGGUGGUAGCUGUCCACCCCAGGAAUCAAAUAUUUGUACGCAAUGAGCCCCAGACUCCACUUGAAAAACAAUGUAGUGAGCUAUUGUCUGUGUCAAAUGAGAGAGAAGAGCCCUCAGUACAUGUGGUGCUGUAUGGCACAUACUCUUUAUGUUAGUGUAUGUGCGAGUUGUACCCCCUUCCACUAUAUAUGUAGCAAUUGUCCAAGGAGCUCCAACAAAACCCAAAACUGCAGCAUGUCCAUUAACCUCAUGUCGCAAUAUUCUAAGUGAUUCCCCCACAAAAUGG